GGAAGAAUGCAUCCAUCAUUACAUUUUCACAAUACACGGUGAUCCCUAACUGUAUACUACCGCCUUUUCUAAUUUUGGGGUUGUUAAGAGUGUCAGUCAAGCAUUUAACAAAUAUGUAUUAUUUAAUUUCAUGCAUUCGUUUAACAGGUCUACCUGUUGUUUGCCAGGUGUUAUGAUACCCAAGAAUAGAGUUGAAUUAGAUGUAUUUAGAGAAUUUGCUUUUUAAUGUGUUAUCUAAGGUGAUUAUUUAACCCAUGACUUUCCUAAAGGUUUAAUUUGCUCUUGGUAGGAUGUCAUUGUCCGAUGGAGCAUAAGUUUGAUUUUAACGCUUCGUCGUAGAGUCCAAAAGCCCAAAUUAUGCUUUGAGUUUUAGUUUAAAUCUUCUUUACAAAAAUUUCCUGACAGUUCCCCUUGAUUUAGAUACUGUGUGAUGAAUGUGAAAGUUCUACAAAUGAGUUUUUUUUUUUUUACACUCUUGAUGAUCUCCUGUGGAAAGGCAUAAACAUCUGAAUAUGUUGGGAAUGUUUUUCAACGAUAAUAUGCUCUUUGAGAGUAUAGGCAGGUUUGAUGAACUCCAGGUAGUUUCCUCAGCAUUAGAAUGAAAUGCCCAUCCAGAAACCUGCAAUUUUAUUUGAAUUGUUUUUUUGUUUGUUUGUUUGUUUUUUCCAAACAGCAACAACUUCAAUAAAGCCUAUUUUGGGAGCACCACCAUGUUUCAGGCACUAUCCAGUUGCAUUUUUCAGAUGAGAAUGAUCCUGAAAUGUGUGGUCAGGCAGUGACCAUCCAGUUAUCUAUCGCUUGGCUUUUAAAACACUACGGUCAUAAUAACUCCUAGAGCUCAUGCUCCACGAAGAAUAAGGCUGUUGAAAUUCUCCAAACUUCACGAAGCCAUCUGGUUCUGAUUUCCCCAUAGAAUUUCAGUAGAAAAGGAAGUCUGAAUACUAACUGCAUCAAGUCUGAGUAGCGCUGCUUACACAAACUUUUGAGAGAUGUUAUCAUGGACUUCUGUUUCUUAAAAAUAACAGGGAAAAUGAUUAUAU
This 1040-nucleotide long non-coding RNA is filed under the name Sus scrofa (pig). RNAcentral describes it as "lncRNA (ENSSSCG00040020462.1)". Lineage: Eukaryota; Metazoa; Chordata; Mammalia; Artiodactyla; Suidae. The record is from RNAcentral.